Molecule: ribosomal RNA, 483 nt
Filed under: uncultured bacterium
Lineage: Bacteria
Description: partial 16S ribosomal RNA
Rfam family: Bacterial small subunit ribosomal RNA
Source: RNAcentral
GACGAACGCUGGCGGCGUGCUUAACACAUGUAAGUCGAACGAUGAAGCCGGAGCUUGCUCCGGUGGAUUAGUGGCGAACGGGUGAGUAACACGUGAGCAAUCUGCCCUUGACUCUGGGAUAACUGCGGGAAACUGUAGCUAAUACCGGAUACGACACCUUGGGGCAUCCCAGGGUGUGGAAAGAAUUUCGGUCAAGGAUGAGCUCGCGGCCUAUCAGCUAGUUGGUGAGGUAAUGGCUCACCAAGGCGACGACGGGUAGCCGGCCUGAGAGGGUGACCGGCCACACUGGAACUGAGACACGGUCCAGACUCCUACGGGAGGCAGCAGUGGGGAAUAUUGCACAAUGGGCGAAAGCCUGAUGCAGCAACGCCGCGUGAGGGAUGAAGGCCUUCGGGUUGUAAACCUCUUUUAGCGGGGAAGAAGCGAAAGUGACGGUACCUGCAGAAAAAGCACCGGCUAACUACGUGCCAGCCGCCGCGGUAA